Molecule: long non-coding RNA, 204 nt
Filed under: Elaeis guineensis (African oil palm)
Lineage: Eukaryota; Viridiplantae; Streptophyta; Magnoliopsida; Arecales; Arecaceae
Description: long non-coding RNA (EGUI_LNC001408)
Source: RNAcentral
ACAAUAUUGGGGGAUGCUUCAGUAUGUUUUCAGGUAGAGGUUUCUCCUAAAGGAUUUGCCGGUACUAAUUGAUUUUGUUUCUAGUGGCCAGGUAAAUUUCGAAAAGAAAGUAAUAUCUGCUAGCCUUGUUUGUCAAAUUUGGUUAGUUCGGAAUGACCAAAUUUUUUAGCAAACUAGAUCAUCUAAUUACCAACUUGUGCACAA